Molecule: long non-coding RNA, 1981 nt
Filed under: Olea europaea (common olive)
Lineage: Eukaryota; Viridiplantae; Streptophyta; Magnoliopsida; Lamiales; Oleaceae
Description: long non-coding RNA (OEUR_LNC001551)
Source: RNAcentral
AUAAUACAAAUUUUUAAUGGUAAAAAUAAUUAUUAUUAAAUCAUUCUCUCUCUAGAUAAUAAUUUAUCUUUUCUCUCUCUCAUCAAUUCACCUACUUGCUUCCAACACUCUUUAUAAUUUCUCUCUAAUAUCGCUUGAUCACCAAAUUCGUUUGAUCCUGUCCAUUGCCAAAUCCUUAUCGGUGCCCAAGCAGUAGUCGCACACCUAUUCGCCUCUAUCCUGACAACCUUCAUCAUUGAUCUUGGUGAUGAGGGAGACAAUGAUGGUGGUAUAUUUGAUGGAAAUGGCAUUGGGACCAAAGGGUACAUUGACAUUGAUUUCAUUUCUAUCUUUCAAUUUCACGUCCAAUCUAAACGAAAUAUAAAAUAAAAUAGGCUAUAAAAUAAUUGAUUAAAAACUAUUAAAUGUCUAUAUUUUUCAAUUCAAAUAUACACUUAUCAAAUUCCCAACAAAAAGAAAUAUAGUUAUAACUAUCGACUUACUAACAAUAUAUUAAUAUCAUAUAUAUUUUCUUGUGGGAUCCACUAUCAUCUCUCUUAAUAUUUCUAUUUAUAAAUCAUUUAUAGAUUUUUCAAACUGAUAGUAAGAUCGUGUUUCCAACAUAUAUUUUGUAUAUAUACUUUUGUACGGAUUACAUUCGUAAUACAACAGCCUGGAAGCCUCGAGCCAGCAAUAGUUUUAUUUUCUUUUAUCUCUGAUCUGACUAAUUGCCAAUUAUUUAGGUAGAUAAUUAUAACUAUAAUAUAAAUUUAGGCAUUACUUCGUCAAAGUCAAUUGAUAAACAAAUUCAGACACAAGAAACAAAACUCUACAGCUAAUUAACAUUUGAAAGAUAUGAAAGAUGCACAUCCAGACUAUACAUACGACUUUCUGCAUAGUUCUUCAUGUAUCUUCAAAUUGAGCUUGGAAAUUUUAUUUACCUGCUUCCAAUUGAGUAUAUGUUUCCCAGCCACAAUUUUAGAGAAUAAAUUUCAGCGACAGAUUGGUUAGCGAAUCAAGGGGUUAAAGAGGGCAACCAACAUCCACGGCCGGCCCUGAUAUUUUGGGGGCCUUAUGUCAAUUUCAAAUUGGGGCCAUAUAUUUUGAAUCUCCUAGUAUAGAGUUUUAGCCCAUGUUUGAUGAAGAUUAAACCCUUGUUUGAACCCAAUUUUUUCAUCAAAAUACAUUCUUUAAUACAUUUCUCAAUAAAAUAAUAUUACAUGUACCUUCAAAAUUUUUCCUUAUUUUUUAACCACAUUCUCCAUCAUAACACUAUCUCAAAAUACAUUUUUUUGAAAAAAAUGGGGCUCAAACAACCCCUAAAAUCAAUUUUUUAGUAGAUUUUGAUAGAAGUGGAUAAAAUAUAUGGAUUUAAAAUUGUGGAACCCAUAAAAUAUAUGGUUAAAAUUAAUUAUUGAUUUUCACUUAGAUUAAAAUCUAGAUUUUAAUCGAUACCAAAUAGUGACUUAAUAUAAUUAUAAAGAAUCUAACACAGACAAAUAAGCCUCAAAAUUUGAAGAGAAAAUUAACAAAAUGUCAAAUUUCAACCAGUAAUACAAAUUACAAGUAAAGUUUGGCAAACAUAAUUACAAUGCAAUGGCAAAGGAGUAUAUUUGUUUGUAUGAUUAUUUUCUCACUACAAAUAUUUCAAAUAAGAUUGAAUAUACAUUUGAGGGAUUUUUGUAUAAAAUUAGAGAAUGUGACUACAAAAGAUAGUGUAACAAAAUAAUGAAAUGAUGAUCAAAUACAAACGAUCUUCUAAUUUUAUAUUAAUUUAUAAGAAAUUAACUUUAAAAUAAGAAGUAUCUAUAUGAAUAAGAACAAAGAAUUAUUAAAUUCAAAUUAUUUUCAGCAAACAUCUAAAAUUAUUAUUAUCAUGAGAUUAAAACAAAACAAUAUAAUAACAAUAUAUGUACUCUGUAGUAUAUGUUUCGAAGAUAAAGAGAAAGAAAGAAACCUGUAAGAUUGUAACAAUGGUAGUUAGAUCAAACCAAACUGCAUU